GGGGAGUACGGUCGCAAGAUUAAAACUCAAAUGAAUUGACGGGGGCCCGCACAAGCGGUGGAGCAUGUGGUUUAAUUCGACGCAACGCGAAGAACCUUACCUACUCUUGACAUCCAGAGAAGACUGCAGAGAUGUGGUUGUGCCUUCGAGAACUCUGAGACAGGUGCUGCAUGGCUGUCGUCAGCUCGUGUUGUGAAAUGUUGGGUUAAGUCCCGCAACGAGCGCAACCCUUAUCCUUAGUUGCCAGCACGUAAUGGUGGGAACUCUAGGGAGACUGCCGGUGAUAAACCGGAGGAAGGUGGGGACGACGUCAAGUCAUCAUGGCCCUUACGAGUAGGGCUACACACGUGCUACAAUGGUAUGUACAGAGGGAGGCAAGCUGGCGACAGUGAGCGGAUCUCUUAAAGCAUAUCGUAGUCCGGAUCGCAGUCUGCAACUCGACUGCGUGAAGUCGGAAUCGCUAGUAAUCGCAAAUCAGAAUGUUGCGGUGAAUACGUUCCCGGGCCUUGUACACACCGCCCGUCACACCAUGGGAGUGGGUUGCAAAAGAAGUAGGUAGCUUAACCUUCGGGAGGGCGCUUACCACUUUGUGAUUCAUGACUGGGGUGAAGU
RNAcentral lists this ribosomal RNA (612 nucleotides) under uncultured freshwater bacterium. RNAcentral describes it as "bacterial SSU rRNA". It matches the Rfam family "Bacterial small subunit ribosomal RNA", at positions 875 to 1486 of the family's 1533-position model. The record is from RNAcentral.